Molecule: ribosomal RNA, 481 nt
Filed under: uncultured Methanosarcina sp.
Lineage: Archaea; Methanobacteriati; Methanobacteriota; Methanomicrobia; Methanosarcinales; Methanosarcinaceae
Description: bacterial SSU rRNA
Rfam family: Archaeal small subunit ribosomal RNA
Source: RNAcentral
AAAGGAAUUGACGGGGAGCACCACAACAGGUGGAGCCUGCGGUUUAAUCGGAACUCAACGCCGGGAAGCUCACCGGAUAAGACAGCGGAAUGAUAGCCGGGCUGAAGACUCUGCUUGACUAGCUGAGAGGAGGUGCAUGGCCGUCGUCAGUUCGUACUGUGAAGCAUCCUGUUAAGUCAGGCAACGAGCGAGACCCACGCCAACAGUUGCCAGCAUGUCCUCCGGGAUGGUGGGGACACUGUUGGGACCGCCUCUGCUAAAGCGGAGGAAGGAAUGGGCAACGGUAGGUCAGUAUGCCCCGAAUAUCCCGGGCUACACGCGAGCUACAAUGGUUGGUACAAUGGGUAUCUACCCCGAAAGGGGACGGGAAUCUCCUAAAACCAAUCUUAGUUCGGAUUGAGGGCUGCAACUCGCCCUCAUGAAGCUGGAAUCCGUAGUAAUCGCGUUUCAACAGAACGCGGUGAAUACGUCCCUGCUCCUU